AUAGCUCAGUGGUAGAGCUCAUGCUUAGCAUGCAAGAGGCCCUGGGUUCAAUCCCCACU
This 59-nucleotide transfer RNA is filed under the name Camelus bactrianus (Bactrian camel). It matches the Rfam family "tRNA", at positions 7 to 64 of the family's 71-position model. From Rfam's summary of the family: Transfer RNA (tRNA) molecules are approximately 80 nucleotides in length. Their secondary structure includes four short double-helical elements and three loops (D, anti-codon, and T loops). RNAcentral also lists the same sequence under 2 other names. The record is from Rfam by way of RNAcentral. Lineage: Eukaryota; Metazoa; Chordata; Mammalia; Artiodactyla; Camelidae.